Cornus florida is the source of this 672-nucleotide long non-coding RNA. RefSeq lists it as uncharacterized. NCBI's taxonomy places the organism in Eukaryota, Viridiplantae, Streptophyta, Magnoliopsida, Cornales, Cornaceae. The record is from RefSeq and is a predicted model, not a curated record. The transcript is spliced from 3 exons.
AAAGGGUCAUGCAUAACCCUUGUAGAAAGCACUUUCUACAACAGGCCCGGGUAGUCAGCCAGACCCAUCAACACCACCUUGAACCAUCAACAUCAUCCACUUAGCUUACCUUGCUGAUCCGUGUUUAAAUGCUAUCUCGUGAGGCAAAAGGAUGGGAUUGGGGCUCAAACUAGAUUACCCUUGUUCAGACUCCCUAAGAUACGAGGAAGCGAAAAAGGAUCACAGCCAUCACAGAACCUGUUAUUUUCUCCAUCAACAAUAGAUUGAAGCCUUUAAAUCUCUAUAUCCAAGUGAAGUUGACAAGCAUUUGUUGUCUCAGCAGACUGGUUUGUCCAAAUAUCAGCAACAGCAGCAGCUGCCACCAUGGUUCCACCAACAACAGUCUCCAUCAGAUUCCCAACAGCAGCGAACCACACCAAACUAGCAUCAAUAGCCUCCACCACCUCCAGCGGACUCUCAUUUUCAGCAGCCGCCACUAACAAGGUGGCACCAGCAAGCACCACCCACAACCACCAACAAAAUGAAUAAUGGAUCUUAAAGAGGAUGGAACAAUAUUUUGUGCUUCUAGAUGGUGUAAUUUUUAGUUUAGAAAACUGGAGAGCAAUUUUAGUUUUUGUUUAGAAAAUUGGAGAUUUUAUGGAUCUUGAAUAUAUGUAUUGAGGAUUUAUUUUA